ACAAAAGUAAAAAGGCUUUUGAAAUUAAAAAUAUAAAAAAAAAUGUUUGUAUGUACAUGAAAAUAAUAAUUACAAUAUUAAUAGUAAUAGUAAAUAAUAAUAAACAAGUAAUAAUACAGUAUAAUAACAACAAAUAAAAAAAUUUAAAUAGUGAAAUAGUUUAAAAAAAUGGAUUAAAUUGAACAAAAGACGAAAAACG
This 199-nucleotide long non-coding RNA is filed under the name Gossypium raimondii (Peruvian cotton). Its description in RNAcentral is "long non-coding RNA (GRAI_LNC003304)". Lineage: Eukaryota; Viridiplantae; Streptophyta; Magnoliopsida; Malvales; Malvaceae. The record is from RNAcentral.